This 915-nucleotide ribosomal RNA is filed under the name uncultured archaeon. Its description in RNAcentral is "bacterial SSU rRNA". It matches the Rfam family "Archaeal small subunit ribosomal RNA", at positions 1 to 922 of the family's 1478-position model. The record is from RNAcentral.
UUCCGGUUGAUCCCGCCGGAGGCUACCGCUAUUGGAGUUCGAUUAAGCCAUGCGAGUCGUGAGUCCUAGGGACUCGGCGUACCGCUCAGUAACACGUGGGUAACCUGCCCUAUGCUGGGGAAUAACCUCGGGAAACUGAGAAUAAUGCCCCAUAGUUCACCACGCCUGGAACGGUGGGUGGAUGAAAGCUCCGGCGGCAUAGGAUGGGCCUGCGGCGUAUCAGGUUGUAGGGGGUGUAAUGUACCCUCUAGCCAUCUACGCGUACGGGUGUUGGGAGACAUCGCCCGGAGAUGGAUUCUGAGACACGAAUCCAGACCCUACGGGGUGCAGCAGGCGCGAAAACUUGGCAAUGCGAGCAAUCGUGACCAGGGAACUCCAAGUGCAUCGGGUAAGACCGAUGCUUUUCUUGACUCUUCAAAGGUCUUGGAAUAAGAGGUGGGUAAGGACGGUGCCAGCCGCCGCGGUAAUACCGGCGCCUCAAGUGGUAGUCGCUUUUAUUGGGCCUAAAACGUCCGUAGCCGGUUUGGUACAUUCGUGGGUAAAUCAAGGCGCUCAACGUCUUGAAUUCUGCGAGCACGGCCAGACUUGGGACCGGGUGAGGUGUGGGGUACUCUCAGGGUAGGGGUAAAAUCCUGUCAUCCUGAGAGGACCACCUGUUGCGAAGGCGCCACACUAGAACGGAUCCGACGGUCAGGGACGAAGCCUAGGGGCACGAACCGGAUUAGAUACCCGGGUAGUCCUAGGUGUAAACGCUGUGGACUUGAUGUUGGAAGUGCUCCGAGCACCCUCAGUGUCGAAGCGAAGGUGAUAAGUCCACUGCCUGGGGAGUACGGUCGCAAGGCUGAAACUUAAAGGAAUUGGCGGGGGAGCACUGCAACCUGAGGAUUGUGCGGUUUAAUUGGAUUCAACGCCGGA